GGUUGUAUUAGGUUGAAACACCGGUUCCCGUACGAUCAUGGAAGUUAAGAAACGUCAAGCCUGGUUACUACUUAGAUGGGUGAACGAGUAGGAUUCCCAGGUGCAGUAAG
Molecule: non-coding RNA, 110 nt
Organism: Acanthosepion pharaonis
Lineage: Eukaryota; Metazoa; Mollusca; Cephalopoda; Sepiida; Sepiidae
Source: the annotation of a GenBank genome assembly